GUGUCAGCCGCCGCGGUAAUACGUAGGUGGCGAGCGUUGUCCGGAAUCAUUGGGCGUAAAGCGCGCGUAGGCGGCUUGUCAGGUCUGAUGUGAAACCUUGGGGCUUAACUCCAAGCGUGCAUCGGAAACCGGCUUGCUAGAGUCUGGGAGAGGGAAGUGGAAUUCCUGGUGUAGCGGUGAAAUGCGUAGAUAUCAGGAGGAACACCAGUUGCGAAGGCGGCUUCCUGGAACAGUACUGACGCUGAGGCGCGAAAGCUAGGGGAGCGAACAGGAUUAGAAACCCUAGUAGUCC
Molecule: ribosomal RNA, 292 nt
Filed under: uncultured bacterium
Lineage: Bacteria
Description: partial 16S ribosomal RNA
Rfam family: Bacterial small subunit ribosomal RNA
Source: RNAcentral